Molecule: unclassified non-coding RNA, 412 nt
Filed under: Hevea brasiliensis (rubber tree)
Lineage: Eukaryota; Viridiplantae; Streptophyta; Magnoliopsida; Malpighiales; Euphorbiaceae
Source: RNAcentral
GACGUCACAAUAAAGGAAUUUCCCAUGUCAAAGGGGCUGCACUUUAAUAAUUCAGCGGAUGAAGUCCUUGUUGAUCCUAAACACUAACGGCAUUUGGUGGGAUGCCUCUUGUACCUUAAUCUUACCCCGCCCAAUAUCUCUUUUGUGGCACAAUGCUUAAGUCAAUUUCUUCAACAAGCCCGCAAGCACAUUGGGAUGCCUUAUUUGCUUUGCUUCAGUAUUUGAAAGGAACACCAAGGGUCUAUUUUUCCCACCAACACAAGCCUUCAUCUUCGAGCUUAUUGUGACGAAGAUUGGAGCACAUGUACCAUGACAAGAAACUCACUGCAGGAUAUUGUGUGUUUUUCAGGCUCUUCACUAGUUUCCUAGAAGAACAAAAAGUAAUCGACAGUGAGUUGGUCCUUAGCCUAAG